GGUGUGACUUCACAGGGCUGGCUCCCCUCCCUGUCAAGGCCCUGAUUGGGCCGGACAGGAGGCGCAGGAGAGGCCCGGGUUCCCUAAAGGACACCAACAGGUGGGAAGCCACAUUGGAGGGGGGCUGCUCCUGGUGGGUAUAGAAAAGGCCGGUCUGCAUGGCCUGCCGUGGGCACAAUCCACCGGGCCAGAUACUGAGGAGAGCGGAUGAUCGUAAAGAGAGCUGAAAUGAAAAGAUGAGUUGAGUGCAUAGAUGGCAAAGAGAAGCUGCAGGGACUUGAACUAAGGUAACACUGACGAGGACCUCCUGUUCUCUCUUCUCGUCCCCUCUCUCCCUCCCUCUGUGUCUUUGACCCCUGCCUCUCUCUUACUCUGCCUCUUGCAGCCGAAGCAACACGCCUUGCUGUGGCUGGUCAAACGGAACCAAGUCAGGUGUUUCAGUGAGGUUUGGUCCCCUUCAACCAGCUACUGCGUCGUGAAUUCUGUCGACAGGGAAUCAGAGAUGCGGUUCUACUUAUUCUGGAAGUGGUAGUCUGACAAAAUGUAAAGAUUAUAUAUUACAGGCUACUCAAAGGUUGACUUUUUUCUUGAUUUUGGUUAUAUAAGUAUAGCUGUUUGUGCCUAAAAACAAAUAAAGGAUCACUAGCACUGUGCAGUUCUGAUGUUUACGUCUUUUCUUUUUCUGUUCAUAUUUAAAAAAAGCUAAUUUAAAAUAGAAAAUAUCCUUUACAACCUGAUAUCUGCUUUAAAAAUAAACUAAUUGCUACGGCAGGAAGUCUUUAUUAUUGGUCAAACAAUUAAUCAAUGUAAAGAUGAAAAUUGUUGGAAAUUAUUGCAAUUUAAAAAUAGCAGAACAAGAUAGAAAUCAGUCCCAUGGAGAGCACCUAUCCUGUGUGCUUAUAAAAUGUAUCAAGCCAAUCAGACUUUUUUGUCUCUAUUGAAAUAAACUGUCUAACAUUUGUGAAACUCUAGGGGUAAAUUGAAAUAAAUGUAAAACUUGA
Long non-coding RNA from Girardinichthys multiradiatus, 1001 nucleotides. RefSeq lists it as uncharacterized. The record is from RefSeq and is a predicted model, not a curated record. Lineage: Eukaryota; Metazoa; Chordata; Actinopteri; Cyprinodontiformes; Goodeidae. The transcript has 2 exons.